AUAGUAACAAUGUUUCUUUAUAUAUUUUCAUUUUGUAGUUGUGACGAACCAGAAAUAAAAGCAAAUUUGAAUGACGACACAUUCCCAAGUUCCGACCAAAUUUGGGGUAUGAUAGGAACUAUAUUGGCGACUGUUGCAUGCUGGUUUGUGUAUACAAAGAUAAGACUUGGAAGAAAAAGGUCUCAAGACCAUCACAUCCCGCAUAGUAAACCAAGAGUAACAACCAAUGCACGUAGAGGACACAUGUGAAAAUAGAUUAGAAAUAAUAGAAAAUAUUAUAGAAAUAUAUUUUUAUUCUUAAAAUA
Molecule: long non-coding RNA, 305 nt
Organism: Trichoplusia ni (cabbage looper)
Lineage: Eukaryota; Metazoa; Arthropoda; Insecta; Lepidoptera; Noctuidae
Exons: 2
Source: RefSeq, a predicted model, not a curated record